Molecule: ribosomal RNA, 496 nt
Filed under: uncultured bacterium
Lineage: Bacteria
Description: partial 16S ribosomal RNA
Rfam family: Bacterial small subunit ribosomal RNA
Source: RNAcentral
AUGAACGCUGGCGGCGUGCCUAAUCCAUGCAAGUCGAGCGAACGGACGAGAAGCUUGCUUCUCUGAUGUUAGCGGCGGACGGGUGAGUAACACGUGGAUAACCUACCUAUAAGACUGGGAUAACUUCGGGAAACCGGAGCUAAUACCGGAUAAUAUUUUGAACCGCAUGGUUCAAAAGUGAAAGACGGUCUUGCUGUCACUUAUAGAUGGAUCCGCGCUGCAUUAGCUAGUUGGUAAGGUAACGGCUUACCAAGGCAACGAUGCAUAGCCGACCUGAGAGGGUGAUCGGCCACACUGGAACUGAGACACGGUCCAGACUCCUACGGGAGGCAGCAGUAGGGAAUCUUCCGCAAAGGGCGAAAGCCUGACGGGGCAACGCCGCGUGAGUGAUGAAGGUCUUCGGAUCGUAAAACUCUGUUAUUAGGGAAGAACAUAUGUGUAAGUAACUGUGCACAUCUUGACGGUACCUAAUCAGAAAGCCACGGCUAACUACGUG